RNAcentral lists this ribosomal RNA (497 nucleotides) under uncultured bacterium. Its description in RNAcentral is "partial 16S ribosomal RNA". It matches the Rfam family "Bacterial small subunit ribosomal RNA", at positions 28 to 507 of the family's 1533-position model. The record is from RNAcentral.
GAUGAACGCUGGCGGCGUGCCUAAUACAUGCAAGUCGAGCGAACGGACGAGAAGCUUGCUUCUCUGAUGUUAGCGGCGGACGGGUGAGUAACACGUGGAUAACCUACCUAUAAGACUGGUAUAACUUCGGGAAACCGGAGCUAAUACCGUAUGAUAUUUUGAACCGCAUGGUUCAAAAGUGAAAGACGGUCUUGCUGUCACGUAUAGAUGGAUCCGCGCUGCAGUAGCUAGUUGGUAAGGUAACGGCUUACCAAGGGAACGAUGCAUAGCCGACCUGAGAGAGUGAUCGGCCACACUGGAACGGAGACACGGUCCAGACUCCUACGGGAGGCAGCAGUAGGGAAUCUUCCGCAAUGGGCGAAAGCCUGACGGAGCAACGCCGCGUGAGUGAUGAAGGUCUUCGGAUCGUAAAACUCUGUUAUUAGGGAAGAACAUAUGUGUAAGUAACUGUGCACAUCUUGACGGUACCUAAUCAGAAAGCCACGGCUAACUACGUG